This 458-nucleotide ribosomal RNA is filed under the name uncultured bacterium. RNAcentral's name for it is "partial 16S ribosomal RNA". It matches the Rfam family "Bacterial small subunit ribosomal RNA", at positions 338 to 795 of the family's 1533-position model. The record is from RNAcentral.
CCUACGGGAGGCAGCAGUGAGGAAUAUUGGUCAAUGUGCGAGAGCCUGAACCAGCCAAGUCGCGUGAGGGAGUACUGCCCUAUGGGUUGUAAACCUCUUUUGUCGGGGAGCAAAAGCCGGACGUGUCCGGCUGUGAGAGUACCCGAAGAAAAAGCAUCGGCUAACUCCGUGCCAGCAGCCGCGGUAAUACGGAGGGUGCGAGCGUUAUCCGGAUUUAUUGGGGUUAAAGGGUGCGCAGGCGGAUUUUUAAGUCAGCGGUCAAAUCGUGGGGCUCAACCCCAUCCAGCCGUUGAAACUGGGGAUCUAGAGUGUGCGAGAGGUAUGCGGAAUGCGUGGUGUAGCGGUGAAAUGCAUAGAUAUCACGCAGAACCCCGAUUGCGAAGGCAGCAUACCGGUGCACAACUGACGCUCAGGCACGAAAGCGUGGGUAUCGAACAGGAUUAGAUACCCUUGUAGUC